This 163-nucleotide unclassified non-coding RNA is filed under the name uncultured Cordycipitaceae. RNAcentral describes it as "sequence contains ITS2". Lineage: Eukaryota; Fungi; Ascomycota; Sordariomycetes; Hypocreales; Cordycipitaceae. RNAcentral also lists the same sequence under 1 other name. The record is from RNAcentral.
CAACCCUCGAGCCCCCCUUGGGGGGCCCGGCGUUGGGGACCGGCACUAACACCGCCGGCCCCGAAAUGGAGUGGCGGCCCGUCCGCGGCGACCUCUGCGUAGUAACUCAACCUCGCAUCGGGACCCGGGCGCGGCCACGCCGUAAAACACCCAACUUUCUGAA